AUAUAUCUCUAUAAUCAAAAUUUUAGAACGUCAAAAAUGGUUGUUUGUAACCAAAAAACGCAUUGGUUCUUGGUCGUUUCCUUCUUGUUCUGCUUCUUCUUGAUCACUUGUCAAGCUAGGAAUUUACGAAUAGAUCGUUAUGAAGUUCAAAAGAGUGACCAAGAAAUCCUUGUAAAGAAUGAAGAGCAAUCAAACUAUAGAGACUCGGUAGCAAUAGACGUAGAUUACACUCCAGCCGGAAAGAAACCUCCAAUUCAUAAUUAGGAUGGAAAAAGUUUACAAACUUGGAAGUUAUAUCCCGAGACGAAUCCCGAAUUUGAAGUCUUUUGAUUCUGUUUUUAUAUGUGUCAUUUUUUCUUGCACAUAUAUAGUCCGAGCUAGACUCAGUGAAUUUCUGUCAAGGUUUUUGAGAAAUUUUCUUUGGGAGUAAGAUGAAUAUAGAAUGAAUGUCGAAGAGAUUAUGUACAUAUAUAUAUAUACACAUCUUUUGAUGGAUUAUUUACAGGUUUUUACAUUCAUAUGGAUUUAUGAAGUUUUUAUGAAGAUACACGAAGCUUCAAAUAAUAAUAUUGAGAGAUGUUUAUUUAUUACUA
Nicotiana tabacum (common tobacco) is the source of this 593-nucleotide long non-coding RNA. RefSeq lists it as uncharacterized. The record is from RefSeq and is a predicted model, not a curated record. NCBI's taxonomy places the organism in Eukaryota, Viridiplantae, Streptophyta, Magnoliopsida, Solanales, Solanaceae.